UGAGUCUGAGGACACGCCGCGUGAGUGAUGAAGGCUUUCGGGUCGUAAACUCUGAGAAGGGAAGAACAAGUGCUAGUUGAAUAAGCUGGCACCGACGGUACCUAACCAGAAAGCCACGGCUAACUACGUGCCAGCAGCCGCGGUAAUACGUAGGUGGCAAGCCCUUACCCGGAAUUAUUGGGCGUAAAGCGCGCGCAGGUGGUUUCUUAAGUCUGAUGUGAAAGCCCACGGCUCAACCGUGGAGGGUCAUUGGAAACUGGGAGACUUGAGUGCAGAAGAGGAAAGUGGAAUUCCAUGUGUAGCGGUGAAAUGCGUAGAGAUAUGGAGGAACACCAGUGGCGAAGGCGACUUUCUGGUCUGUAACUGACACUGAGGCGCGAAAGCGUGGGGAUCUUUUUUGGAUUAGAUACCCUGGUAGUCCACGCCGUAAACGAUGAGUGCUAAGUGUUAGAGGGUUUCCGCCCUUUAGUGCUGAAGUUAACGCAUUAAGCACUCCGCCUGGGGAGUACGGCCGCAAGGCUGAAACUCAAAGGAAUUGACGGGGGCCCGCACAAGCGGUGGAGCAUGUGGUUUAUUUCGAAGCAACGCGAAGAACCUUACCAGGUCUUGACAUCCUCUGAAAACCCUAGAGAUAGGGCUUCUCCUUCGGAGCAGAGUGACAGUGGUGCAUGGUGUCGUCAGCUUCGUGUCGUGAGAUGUUGGGUUAAGUCCCGCACGAAGCGCAACCUGGAUCUAGUUGCCAUCAUUAGGUGGGCACCUCUAGUGACUGCCGGUGACAAACCGGAGGAGGUGGCAUGACGUCAAUCAUCAUGCCCCUUAUGACCUUGGCCUACACCACGUGUGCCUACAA
Molecule: ribosomal RNA, 850 nt
Filed under: Bacillus cereus
Lineage: Bacteria; Bacillati; Bacillota; Bacilli; Caryophanales; Bacillaceae
Description: bacterial SSU rRNA
Rfam family: Bacterial small subunit ribosomal RNA
Source: RNAcentral